GUGUCGCUCAGUUGGUAGAGUGCUUGCCUGGCAUGCAAGAAACCUUGGUUCAAUCCCCAGCAC
This 63-nucleotide transfer RNA is filed under the name Mus musculus (house mouse). It matches the Rfam family "tRNA", at positions 5 to 66 of the family's 71-position model. Rfam says of the family: Transfer RNA (tRNA) molecules are approximately 80 nucleotides in length. The record is from Rfam by way of RNAcentral. Lineage: Eukaryota; Metazoa; Chordata; Mammalia; Rodentia; Muridae.